UAGGGAAUCUUCGGCAAUGGGGGGAACCCUGACCGAGCAACGCCGCGCGAGUGAAGAAGGUUUUCGGAUCGUAAAGCUCUGUUGUUAAGGAAGAACGAGUGUGAGAAUGGAAAGUUCAUACUGUGACGGUACUUAACCAGAAAGGGACGGCUAACUACGUGCCAGCAGCCGCGGUAAUACGUAGGUCCCGAGCGUUGUCCGGAUUUAUUGGGCGUAAAGCGAGCGCAGGCGGUUAGAUAAGUCUGAAGUUAAAGGCAGUGGCUCAACCAUUGUAGGCUUUGGAAACUGUUUAACUUGAGUGCAGAAGGGGAGAGUGGAAUUCCAUGUGUAGCGGUGAAAUGCGUAAAUAUAUGGAGGAACACCGGUGGCGAAAGCGACUCUCUGGUCUGUAACUGACGCUGAGGCUCGAAAGCGUGGGGAGCGAACAGG
This 429-nucleotide ribosomal RNA is filed under the name Bacteroidota bacterium. RNAcentral describes it as "Bacteroidetes bacterium partial 16S ribosomal RNA". It matches the Rfam family "Bacterial small subunit ribosomal RNA", at positions 355 to 776 of the family's 1533-position model. Lineage: Bacteria; Pseudomonadati; Bacteroidota. The record is from RNAcentral.